UUGAACGCUGGCGGCAGGCCUAACACAUGCAAGUCGAACGGUAACAGGGAUCAGCUUGCUGAUUCGCUGACGAGUGGCGGACGGGUGAGUAAUGUCUGGGAAACUGCCUGAUGGAGGGGGAUAACUACUGGAAACGGUAGCUAAUACCGCAUAACGUCGCAAGACCAAAGAGGGGGACCUUCGGGCCUCUUGCCAUCGGAUGUGCCCAGAUGGGAUUAGCUAGUAGGUGGGGUAACGGCUCACCUAGGCGACGAUCCCUAGCUGGUCUGAGAGGAUGACCAGCCACACUGGAACUGAGACACGGUCCAGACUCCUACGGGAGGCAGCAGUGGGGAAUAUUGCACAAUGGGCGCAAGCCUGAUGCAGCCAUGCCGCGUGUAUGAAGAAGGCCUUCGGGUUGUAAAGUACUUUCAGCGGGGAGGAGGGGAGUAAAGUUAAUACCUUUGCUCAUUGACGUUACCCGCAGAAGAAGCACCGGCUAACUCCGUG
This 489-nucleotide ribosomal RNA is filed under the name uncultured bacterium. RNAcentral describes it as "partial 16S ribosomal RNA". It matches the Rfam family "Bacterial small subunit ribosomal RNA", at positions 30 to 507 of the family's 1533-position model. The record is from RNAcentral.